Molecule: ribosomal RNA, 484 nt
Filed under: uncultured bacterium
Lineage: Bacteria
Description: partial 16S ribosomal RNA
Rfam family: Bacterial small subunit ribosomal RNA
Source: RNAcentral
AUUGAACGCUGGCGGCAUGCUUUACACAUGCAAGUCGAACGGCAGCGCGGGCUUCGGCCUGGCGGCGAGUGGCGCACGGGUGAGUAAUGCAUCGGAACGUGCCCAGUAGUGGGGGAUAGCCCGGCGAAAGCCGGAUUAAUACCGCAUACGACCUGAGGGUGAAAGCGGGGGACCGAAAGGCCUCGCGCUAUUGGAGCGGCCGAUGUCGGAUUAGCUAGUUGGUGGGGUAAAGGCUUACCAAGGCGACGAUCCGUAGCUGGUCUGAGAGGACGACCAGCCACACUGGGACUGAGACACGGCCCAGACUCCUACGGGAGGCAGCAGUGGGGAAUUUUGGACAAUGGGGGCAACCCUGAUCCAGCCAUGCCGCGUGCGGGAAGAAGGCCUUCGGGUUGUAAACCGCUUUUGUUCGGGAAGAAAUCCUCUGGGCUAAUACCCCGGGGGGAUGACGGUACCGGAAGAAUAAGCACCGGCUAACUACGUG